RNAcentral lists this ribosomal RNA (771 nucleotides) under Lophodermium johnstonii. Its description in RNAcentral is "eukaryotic LSU rRNA". The stretch from base 420 to 573 matches the Rfam family "5.8S ribosomal RNA". Lineage: Eukaryota; Fungi; Ascomycota; Leotiomycetes; Rhytismatales; Rhytismataceae. The record is from RNAcentral.
UCUUGGUCCCAUUUAGAGGAAGUAAAAGUCGUAACAAGGUUUCCGUAGGUGAAAGUGUUCAGCCUACCAGAGUGGCCCCCCGCGGCCGCUAGUUGGCACCAUGCCAGCGACACGCUGAAUGUGCGGAAACGCCCUGGCACCAGGGAAAUCCGCAGCCCACCUCCCUUACCCGGAGGUCGGUCCAGAGACUCAAUAAGCGUGGGUCUGGCCGCAAGGCCGGACUUGAGAUAGAGCCCAUCCUCGCUGGCGACAGCGAGGGGCAAAUGGAACCUGCGGAAGGAUCAUUAAUGAAUACAGGCCUCACGGCCGAUAUUCUCACCCAUUGUCUACCUAACUUCGUUGCUUUGGCAGGCCUUCAGCGCCUGUCAGAGGCCCUAAACUCUUGAAUCUCUGCUGUCUGAGUACUAUACAAUAGUUAAAACUUUCAACAACGGAUCUCUUGGUUCUGGCAUCGAUGAAGAACGCAGCGAAAUGCGAUAAGUAAUGUGAAUUGCAGAAUUCAGUGAAUCAUCGAAUCUUUGAACGCACAUUGCGCUCCCCGGUAUUCCGGGGAGCAUGCCUGUUCGAGCGUCAUUACAACCCUCACGCUCAGCGUGGUCUUGGGCUCGCCCCGCGGGGCCUGCCUCAAAAUCAGUGGCAGCACUGGCCGCCCCUAAGCGUAGUACUACUCGCCGCUUCUGGGUCGCGGGCAGCGGCUGUCAGCCAACCCCCAUCUUUUAAUGUUGACCUCGGGUCAGGUAGGGAUACCCGCUGAACUUAAGCAUAUCAUAA